This is a long non-coding RNA of Hirundo rustica (Barn swallow), 1320 nucleotides long. RefSeq lists it as uncharacterized. Lineage: Eukaryota; Metazoa; Chordata; Aves; Passeriformes; Hirundinidae. The transcript has 3 exons. The record is from RefSeq and is a predicted model, not a curated record.
UGAUAGCCUGCCUGUGUUUGCAUGCCAUAUUUUUUCCAGCGACACUUUGCAGAGUGUGUGUCUGUAUGUUUUCUAAAUAGCCCCAAACAAACACCACACCCCUCAGACAUGCACUUCUCUUACUUGUUUUGAAAUAAGGACUGACAGCUGGAAGGCAGGAAAAGGGACAAAGACUUAUGAGACUAAUUUCUGCAGAGCCCAUUUGUACCAGGACCUCCAAGAGAGUAAAUCUUUCCAGAACUUGGGCUGGCUGGAUUUCCUUCCUCUGUGUCAAGCUGCUUGCCACAUCCUUGUACCCUUAGGUGACUCCAUUCCUCAGUGUUACAGUUAUUUUGAAGAUAUGGAAUAAAUAAUGCUAACUACCUCACAGAAAAAAAUAUUUACAGUUUGUCUUAGGAUUUUACUAAAUUUCUGUGUCAAAUUUCCUCUACCUCUUCCUUCGCCUUUGAAGAAAAAUUGAUUGUAGUGCAACCCUGAUGCAGAGGAAGUGGUGUUCUAAGGACAUUAAUCACUUUGGAUAAAGUUGCCAAAGAAAGCAGUUCCGGCAACUCUCCAGCAUCUAAAGGAGGAGAGACGAAUUUGGAAAAGUGCCAUUGUAUCAGUGUGGUAAUACCACGCUUUGGAGACUAAAAAGUUUGUUUGUCCAGUGUCCAUCUGUUUGCGUUCCCGGGUGUGAAGAUGACGGCCUAAGCCUCUGUCUGGUCAGUCUGUCUCCGUGAGCUGACCCUGGCGUGGGGGUGCCUGCAGCUGCUGGAAUGGACACCAAGGUGAAAAUCCCCAGGACAGCUGUAAUGUGGCUGCUCGUCAGCCAUAACCUCCAACCGCGCCCUCGUUUCCCUUUGGCAGAGGGAGGAGGCUGGCGCAAGAGCUAUUUCAUCAGCCCCUGACUGCGAUCAGAUCGUACAUAUAGCGGGCUGGUAUUCCUUCAGCGGCUGUAUGGAACGAUUACACUGGAUUAUCCAGUGCCUGCUCUUUCACUCACUUCCAGAGGUUUUACUCCAUAGUUGUCAGGCAGGCAGGAAAUUUUGGUAUAAAACACCGCGUAAACCCAACUGAGCCAAGCCAACUGUACCCAUAGCAUAAGCUGCCAUGGAAAAAAAAAAAGCCAUGUUGUUCACUGUUUGGUUUUGUCAUGCUCUCCACUGAGUGAUAUAUCUUAGUGACAAGUUGCUGUAGCCACACAGCAUUUCUUUUAAUAUCAUAAAGUGUCGUGGGGUGCAGACAUGUCCUAGGACAAUGGCUAGAGUUAGUGUUAAAGGCUAAAUGUAUUGCAGCUGCAUACAAGCUGGGCUAGAUUAAAGACUAGAGCUUUGGAAGUUU